GGACGAACGCUGGCGGCGUGCUUAACACAUGCAAGUCGAACGGAAAGGCCCUGCUUUUGUGGGGUGCUCGAGUGGCGAACGGGUGAGUAACACGUGAGUAACCUGCCCUUGACUUUGGGAUAACUUCAGGAAACUGGGGCUAAUACCGGAUAGGAGCUCCUGCUGCAUGGUGGGGGUUGGAAAGUUUCGGCGGUUGGGGAUGGACUCGCGGCUUAUCAGCUUGUUGGUGGGGUAGUGGCUUACCAAGGCUUUGACGGGUAGCCGGCCUGAGAGGGUGACCGGCCACAUUGGGACUGAGAUACGGCCCAGACUCCUACGGGAGGCAGCAGUGGGGAAUAUUGCACAAUGGGCGGAAGCCUGAUGCAGCAACGCCGCGUGCUGGAUGACGGCCUUCGGGUUGUAAACCGCUUUCGCCUGUGACGAAGCGUGAGUGACGGUAAUGGGUAAAGAAGCACCGGCUAACUACGUG
RNAcentral lists this ribosomal RNA (469 nucleotides) under uncultured bacterium. RNAcentral's name for it is "partial 16S ribosomal RNA". It matches the Rfam family "Bacterial small subunit ribosomal RNA", at positions 27 to 507 of the family's 1533-position model. The record is from RNAcentral.